GAUGAACGCUGGCGGCGUGCCUAAUACAUGCAAGUCGAGCGAACGGACGAGAAGCUUGCUUUUCUGAUGUUAGCGGCGGACGGGUGAGUAACAAGUGGAUAACCUACUUAUAAGACUGGGAUAACUUCGGGAAAACGGAGACAAUACCGGAGAAUAUUUUGAACCGCUUGGUUCAAAAGUGAAAGACGGUCUUCCUGUCACUUAUAGAUGGAUCCGCGCUGCAUUAGCUAGUUGGUAAGGUAACGGCCUACCAAGGCAACGAUGCAUAGCCGACCUGAGAGGGUGAUCGGCCACACUGGAACUGAGACACGGUCCAGACUCCUACGGGAGGCAGCAGUAGGGAAUCUUCCGCAAUGGGCGAAAGCCUGACGGAGCAACGCCGCGUGAGUGAUGAAGGUCUUCGGAUCGUAAAGCUCUGUUGUUAGGGAAGAACAUAUGUGUAAGUAACUGUGCACAUCUUGACGGUACCUAAUCAGAAAGCCACGGCUAACUACGUG
Molecule: ribosomal RNA, 497 nt
Filed under: uncultured bacterium
Lineage: Bacteria
Description: partial 16S ribosomal RNA
Rfam family: Bacterial small subunit ribosomal RNA
Source: RNAcentral